Pongo pygmaeus (Bornean orangutan) is the source of this 1606-nucleotide long non-coding RNA. RefSeq lists it as uncharacterized. The record is from RefSeq and is a predicted model, not a curated record. The transcript is spliced from 3 exons. Lineage: Eukaryota; Metazoa; Chordata; Mammalia; Primates; Hominidae.
CCAGCCUGCUUCCCCUUGCCUUCCGCCACGAUUGAAAGUCUCCUGAGGCCUCCCAGAAGCCAAGCAGACGCCAGCAUCAGGCUUCCCCUGCAGCCUGAGGAACCGUGAGCCAAUUCAGCCUCCUUUCUGUAUCAAGUACCCAGUCUCAGACACAUGGGUCCCACCCUCCUGUCUAAAUUUUGGCUAUCAGCUCAUCCUGCCACCUCUCCCUCCCCAUUCCUGGUUUCUCUCAACAGGAGGAGGAGCAGGGGCUUCUGCAUCAAAGGCCGGCUUUGGCAGGACGGGCUGGCCAAGAGCAACCGAUUGUCAAGGUAAGAGGCCGAUAGCUGUCGGGCACGGAGCUGGUGGGUGCCAGGCUGGCGGGGCAUGGGGUAAGCCUCUGGGAAGGGACUGAUGAGAGAGCAGCGGGAGGACCAGAGGCGAUGAUGAAGGCAGGGAGGGAGUGGGAUGGGGUCAGCAGCAACAGCGACCCCAACCUGAGCCGCCCUGACCCAGCUCUCUGACCCCUGUCCAGGGACAGGUGGGUGCGGGGUGUGAGCAGAGAGGACAGAGGCAGGUGUGGCCGUGGGCAGGGUGGCCUCUCUAAGGCCACCCAGGGUAGUGGGGGAUCUAUUUGCAGGACCGAGUCAUGGGCAGCCUGGGCCAGCCAGGGAGGCCCUGCCAGUGGGGAAGGAGGUGGCUGCUCCGACGGCUGGGCCAGAGGUGUCCCCUGAUGUCCGUGAAUGGUCUGGCAACCAAGAAAGCGGCUGCUCUUCCUCCUCCACACAGCUACCUUGGUGAGCGAGACGGGACAGAUCAGGGAUGGGGCAGGCGCAGGAAGCCCAGCUCUCAGGCAGGUGAAGGGGGCGGGUCCAGGAGGGGGUGUGAGGCUCGCUGGGAGGCCCCGGGAAUGCGCGCGACUGCAGGCCGGCUGCCCACCCGUGCCACCUGCCCUCUCCCCCCGGGCCCUCGGCCCAGCUCCCGGUGGCCGCGAGCAUGUCCCGCAGCUCGGAGAUGCUGCUUAGCGGGGCGCCCCGUCAUUGGUCGUGCGCCUGCUCAGUCUGGGGCAGGGGCUGGGACAGCAUCUUUAAUCCCUGGUGCCGGUGCGGGGAUUAGGGCAACGUGGAGUGAGUGAGUGAAGGGAUGGCGCCGUGAGCCCUCAGCGCGGGGAGACACACGCCGCCGGGCCGGGGCGCCAGGAGCGGGGGUGGCGGGGAGGGGAGGGAGAGAAGGUUGAUGACGUCAGUGGUUCCAGUUCCGCAGCAGCGGAGGCCAGAGGGGGACGGGAGACACCAGCUGACGCCCAGAGCCUCACAACCUCUGGACACACAUUCUCCCGAGGGCCAGUGCCUGGAAACAAAGGCCACCCCCGCCGGCCGGAAACUUCUAGGCUGGCAAUGGAGAUGGGACAUCCGGUGACCCCCUCUGUAUCCUCCUCUCCCCUGGGGUCCUCCAGGAAGGCCUGCGUGAUCGAUGACCCACUUUGUUGUGUUUUGUUUUGUUUUUGAGAUGGCCUCUUUUUCUGUCUCCCAGGCUGGGGUGCAGUGGUGCGACCUCGACUCACUGCAACCUCUGCCUCCCGGGUUCAAGCAAUUCCCCUGCCCCAGCCUCCCGCGUAGCUGGGACU